CCUACGGGGGGCAGCAGUGGGGAAUAUUGGGCAAUGGGCGCAAGCCUGACCCAGCAACGCCGCGUGAAGGAAGAAGGCUUUCGGGUUGUAAACUUCUUUUAAGAGGGAAGUGCAGAAGACGGUACCUCUUGAAUAAGCCACGGCUAACUACGUGCCAGCAGCCGCGGUAAUACGUAGGUGGCAAGCGUUGUCCGGAUUUACUGGGUGUAAAGGGCGUGCAGCCGGGAAGACAAGUCAGAUGUGAAAUCCCGCGGCUCAACCGCGGAACUGCAUUUGAAACUGUUUGUCUUGAGUACCGGAGAGGUCAUCGGAAUUCCUUGUGUAGCGGUGAAAUGCGUAGAUAUAAGGAAGAACACCAGUGGCGAAGGCGGCCUACUGGGCUUUAACUGACGCUGAGGCACGAAAGCGUGGGUAGCAAACAGGAUUAGAUACCCCUGUAGUC
RNAcentral lists this ribosomal RNA (442 nucleotides) under uncultured bacterium. Its description in RNAcentral is "partial 16S ribosomal RNA". It matches the Rfam family "Bacterial small subunit ribosomal RNA", at positions 338 to 795 of the family's 1533-position model. The record is from RNAcentral.